Hydrogenibacillus schlegelii is the source of this 180-nucleotide non-coding RNA. The record is from Rfam. Lineage: Bacteria; Bacillati; Bacillota; Bacilli; Thermicanales; Thermicanaceae.
AGCCAAGUGCGGACGGGAUAAGCGCUGAAAGCAUCUAAGCGCGAAGCCCACCCCAAGAUGAGAUUUCCCACCGGCUUGACCGGGUAAGACCCCUCGUAGACGACGAGGUCGAUCGGUCCGAGGUGGAAGCGCGGUAACGCGUGAAGCUGACGGAUCCGAAUCGGUCGAGGCUUUGCCCCC